This 497-nucleotide ribosomal RNA is filed under the name uncultured bacterium. Its description in RNAcentral is "partial 16S ribosomal RNA". It matches the Rfam family "Bacterial small subunit ribosomal RNA", at positions 28 to 507 of the family's 1533-position model. The record is from RNAcentral.
GAUGAACGCUGGCGGCGUGCCUAAUACAUGCAAGUCGAGCGAACAGACGAGGAGCUUGCUCCUCUGACGUUAGCGGCGGACGGGUGAGUAACACGUGGAUAACCUACCUAUAAGACUGGGAUAACUUCGGGAAACCGGAGCUAAUACCGGAUAAUAUAUUGAACCGCAUGGUUCAAUAGUGAAAGACGGUUUUGCUGUCACUUAUAGAUGGAUCCGCGCCGCAUUAGCUAGUUGGUAAGGUAACGGCUUACCAAGGCAACGAUGCGUAGCCGACCUGAGAGGGUGAUCGGCCACACUGGAACGGAGACACGGUCCAGACUCCUACGGGAGGCAGCAGUAGGGAAUCUUCCGCAAUGGGCGAAAGCCUGACGGAGCAACGCCGCGUGAGUGUUGAAGGUCUUCGGAUCGUAAAACUCUGUUAUUAGGGAAGAACAAAUGUGUAAGUAACUAUGCACGUCUUGACGGUACCUAAUCAGAAAGCCACGGCUAACUACGUG